AACAUCGCCUCUUGCCCAAUUAUAAGAGGUCCAGCCUGCCCAGUGACAUAGUUUAACGGCCGCGGUACCCUAACCGUGCAAAGGUAGCAUAAUCACUUGUUCUCUAAAUAGGGACUCGUAUCAAUGGCAUCACGAGGGCUGUACUGUCUCCUUUCUCCAAUCAGUGAAACUGAUCUCCCCGUGAAGAAGCGGGGAUUGACCUAUAAGACGAGAAGACCCCAUGGAGCUUUAAACCCAAUACACACCCCCUACGCACUCAAAUCAACAUAGCCCAAGAAAAUUGUGUAUCGGUUUUAGGUUGGGGGGACCGCGGAGUAAAAUCAAACCUCCACGACAGACGGAUUAAUACCCUUAUCCACGAACUACAAUUCUAAGAACCAAUAAAUUGUUGUCUAAUGACCCAAUUACUUGAUCAACGAACCAAGUUACCCUGGGGAUAACAGCGCAAUCUACUUCAAGAGCCCCUAUCGACAAGUAGGUUUACGACCUCGAUGUUGGAUCAGGGUAUCCUAGUGGUGCAGCCGCUACUAAAGGUUCGUUUGUUCAACGAUUAAAACCCUACGUGAUCUA
This 570-nucleotide ribosomal RNA is filed under the name Amolops splendissimus (sky-night torrent frog). RNAcentral describes it as "partial large subunit ribosomal RNA". It matches the Rfam family "Bacterial large subunit ribosomal RNA", at positions 1812 to 2607 of the family's 2925-position model. The record is from RNAcentral. Lineage: Eukaryota; Metazoa; Chordata; Amphibia; Anura; Ranidae.